Long non-coding RNA from Vicia villosa (hairy vetch), 2552 nucleotides. RefSeq lists it as uncharacterized. Lineage: Eukaryota; Viridiplantae; Streptophyta; Magnoliopsida; Fabales; Fabaceae. The transcript is spliced from 7 exons. The record is from RefSeq and is a predicted model, not a curated record.
UCUUGGUGUUAUUUAACUACUAAACACUGUCUUCACUAUAAACACAUUAGGUAAGACUUUGUCAAAACAAUCACAUACUUUUGCAACAAUAUAGAUUUCCCUUCGUCUAAUUUAAAUCUAUAAUAUAAAACCAUUUUUCUCAAAUGUGAAUCAAACCCGUUGUACUAGAAUAACAAUUGUUAAUUAAACCAUUUCUCACUGGUUUUAAAGUUACAAUUUUUCUGUCAACGCUUUUUUGCCUGACACGACAGCACCAGUUGCAACUUUUUGUGCUUAUACGACAGUUGCCGUCCGAUCUUCUGAUCAAAGGUGGUCAAUCUCUUAAAAAGGUGAAAUUGCAGUGACAAAUUUUCGAUCUCUUUCGGAUGAUAUUAAUUUGAACACAUUGCUAUACUGGGGAGGAUGACCCUUAUUUCCCUAUACCACUUUAUCUUGAAAAGGGACUAACCAAUGAAGUAUGACUAUGCAUUCUAGAUCUUUUAGUUUUAUCGACACUGUCUGUUUUGAGAUUGUUUCAUUCUACUAUCCUUUCUUGAAAAUUGGUUGUGAAAGCAUGUUCAAAUACUUCUGCUGCUAAAUUAACUUCCGAAACUAAUGCUCAGGUAUUCACUAUUUCCAAUUACUUUGCUGUUAUGGUGGUUUAAUAAUUGUUUUAUUAGUUUCUAAUGAUUUCAUUGGUUAUGUAGAAAAAUACUUAUUUGUUGCAGCUGGAACUAGAUAUGAAGAAUAGACAAUCUAGAUUAAUGGAUGUCAGUGGGAACUCUCAGUGGAGAUAUUAAUCUGGUAAUAAUUGUUUAAAAAUCAGUAAAUGGCUUUCUUUGAUUGUAACAAUAACAAUUGUAGUGGCCACUAAUUACAGCCACUAAAAAUCUGGUAAAAAUUACUUUCUUUAUUAAGAUCGAUGGUGUUUGAAUCAGCGGGCAUGUCCUGGCGUGUGCGGCUAUUAAUUGUGAGAAACCAAAGUCUGGGUCAAAGCAUCAAUAUGCCAAGUUCAAAUCAACAGGUUAAUUCUAAGUUAGGUGUCAUUGAUCGGGUCCAAGGGAGGUUCGAUUCGAUUGAGGAUUUGUUUGAAUGAUCAAUUGAGGGGAUUAUCAGUUGGUCGCAGCUCCUUCGCUCAUCAGAUAGCGUAGCUUUGCAUCUGAUUUCUAUCGCAUCAAGUAAUCUGUAGCCUGAGGCUGAAUGUUUCUAUCGAUGUUUCGAGCCUGAUUUGAAUCAAUGCUGCAGCAUUCAGGGCAGCCUUUCAUGUGCAUUUUGUUGUUGUUGUUUGACUGCGUAUGAUGUGCAUUUAUAUCGAACCGCUUAAAAUACCAGUGGAAUAGUAUUCCAAUGUUUUAGCUUUCUGGUUGGAACAAUGAUUUUGGUGUUAAUAGCUUGGUUUAUGAUAGGGUAUAUAAUUUUCUUUCUGUCACAGGGAACUGAUAAACACAUCGUUGUGUCGACAACAUAUAUGCCGAUAUUCGAUUCAAUGUUAACGGUCGACCACACUUACAAUUUGUACUCCAAACAAAAACUUGUGCUCCUAAUGAUGCACCGGACGCCAUGCUCUGAGAAAGCGACUUGAAGAGCUUGGAUACGAACUUAAAGACGACCAAGUUGAGAGUUUGUUUUGGCAUUUCAAAGUUGUGGCUGAGCAAAAGAAGGAAGCAUGGAUUUCUAUAUUGAAGGAAGCAUGGAUUUCUAAUGCUUAAGUUAGCAACGAGACAUGAAGGUUACAAACAGAAGGAAUCCAUGGAUUCUGCAACUUUCCAGCAUCAGCAGCAGCACCUGAAAUCAACUCUGGUGGUGAUUGUCCUAACUCAUCGUCAUUGGUUUACGGGAACUGUGAAUUAAUUCAGCCUUACAAAGGUCUUCAACCUGAGCUUUUCUUCAAGAUGUCACAUGACAUCUAUAACUAUGGAGAAGGACCAUAGACCUCAUUGCUGUUAGAGAAUGUGUUGUUCAAUUAGAAGAUGUUCACAAGAUUAGGCAGCAUUCUUCUCCUUCGGGUGAUGCUUCUCAGAAGUUGGCUCGUUACUUUGUGGAUGCAUUGAAGCACGUAUGGUUUGUGUCGGUACUGGUACACAGAUAUUAUAUAUGAGCCAGAAGAUGAUUAAUGUUGCUGAUUACUAGAAAGCAUACCAAGCUUCACAUCACCGGAAUAGAGUAUCCCCAAGCUGGCUUUCGGCCAGCUGAAAGAAUCGAGGAAACUGGUCGGCGUUUAGCUUGCUCUGAUGUUCAAAUAUUAUCGCAGCGGUUGGGUCUAUCACUCGGAUACAUCGUCAAAGGUGGAGCUGUGACAGAUUUUCUUUGAAUAACCAAGGCGCUGCAGUAUUAUAUCUAUGACUGCAGUAUUGUGUCCGCUGAUUUUUUAGAGAUUCCGCGUCUGAUCAAUUCUAUUUCAAGUGGGUUUGCUCUGCUAGAUUGUUUUUGUUACAGAUUCAGUCUGGUAUUGGUGACUGUUAAGGUUUUUAUUCUGCAGAAUUUAGCACUUGGCAGUGGUGACUGUAGUUUUAGUAUUAAGAAUUUGAUUGUAUUUGGAACUCUAUAUUAUUGUCUAUUUGUAUUGGUUUUGG